UCCGGUUUGGCACCGGCAGUCUCCCUAGAGUUCCCGGCAUUACCCGCUGGCAACUAAGGACAGGGGUUGCGCUCGUUGCGCCACUUAAGGCAACACCUCACGGCACGAGCUGACGACAGCCAUGCACCACCUGUGCGGGCUCCGAGGAGCGCCGUAUUUCUACGGUUUCACCCCGCAUGUCAAGCCCAGGUAAGGUGGGGAUGACGUAUAGGAGCUCGAC
Molecule: unclassified non-coding RNA, 220 nt
Filed under: uncultured Actinomycetes bacterium
Lineage: Bacteria; Bacillati; Actinomycetota; Actinomycetes
Description: uncultured actinobacterium contains 16S-23S intergenic spacer region
Source: RNAcentral